Bos taurus (domestic cattle) is the source of this 1217-nucleotide long non-coding RNA. The record is from Ensembl. NCBI's taxonomy places the organism in Eukaryota, Metazoa, Chordata, Mammalia, Artiodactyla, Bovidae.
GACUUCUCUAGGGUUGUGGUUCUCUCUCCUGUCAUGACAGUUUGUUAUGUUACAUUUUUAAUAGUUGUGCUUGCCUGAGUUCUUACUGGACCAUAACUAGUUUGGUGUUUCAAACUCUUGCUAUACCAGAGGAAAGCUGAGAUAAUCCUGCGUGCUUGAGCUGUAGUUAAUUUGGUGUUUCAAAUCUCUUAUGUUGAGAACCUGCUGAGAGAAAUAAACCAGCCUGACAGUUCUGAACAAGGUGCUUAUCUGCUCAGCUUUGGUUCAGUAUCCUAUUUCCGGGCCGUAACCUGGGAACUGGCUGGGCUCAGGGUGAAGCUUUCCCUGACCUACUGUCCUAUUGACUGCCCUGACAUUCCACUUCCCCAUUCCCAGUUCUUCCUAGUCUUGCUCACUUCUCAUUACAAAAGAUCUUUCAGUAUCUAAACCUGUGAGAGGCUUAUAGACCUUAAGGACAUAUCUGAAGGGGACCAGAAUGUGCCAUCCCCAAAUACUAUGCUACUUGAGCGAAAAGAUUGUCUUAAACUAGACACUUGAAAAACAGCUGAUGCGAGAGCAUUCUGAGGUCUCCUUUUUCUUAAUGAAAACGGGAGUUAAAACUCCCUCGUGAAAGAUGCCUGCCCUAUGCAAGAAGAAACAGUCUUGUCAUCAAGGAUGAAAUAUUAAGACCAAAGAGGAUUCUGCACAAACUGACCUUAUUAAGAUUGUUGCACAAAGUCCUGCCACCCUCAAGUCAGGUGUGAUUGGCCAGGAGAGAGGCAGAAGGACCAGAGGGACCAUCCUAAGCAAGCCCUGUUGUGCAUGAUGUGGGUCUGACCAGGGACAGACUCUUCAUCUGACUGGAACACAUUGGUUAAUCUCCUCAAAGCCACCACUCAUUCAGAAUAGGCAGUGUCAGAAUCUCUGCAUGUUCCCAAGGUUAAAGGGUAUGAUGAUGGAUGGAUAGAUGAUGGUAGUUUGGUAAAGCUCAAGACUAUUUAAAAAUAUUUUUAAUGCAUAAAGUGGAAUGCCUCAGAAUGUUUUUAAAUAUGUAAAAAAUUUUUAAAUACAAAGAAUCAAUUAUGUUGAAGUUACCAAAAUAUAUACAAGCUAUCAAAAUAUAAAUUUGUCACAUCAUUAUAAAUGUGUAUUUUUAUCAAUGAUUAAACAACUUCUAGUUGGAGAAGACUUACAACUACUGUCAUUUCAAAGUAGUUAUGAACAUUAAAGAUAUUUAG